CCCAGACAGCCAGGAUGUUGGCUUAGAAGCAGCCAUCAUUUAAAGAAAGCGUAAUAGCUCACUGGUCGAGUCGGCCUGCGCGGAAGAUGUAACGGGGCUAAACCAUGCACCGAAGCUGCGGCAGCGACACUGUGUGUUGUUGGGUAGGGGAGCGUUCUGUAAGCCUGUGAAGGUGGCCUGUGAGGGUUGCUGGAGGUAUCAGAAGUGCGAAUGCUGACAUAAGUAACGAUAAAGCGGGUGAAAAGCCCGCUCGCCGGAAGACCAAGGGUUCCUGUCCAACGUUAAUCGGGGCAGGGUGAGUCGACCCCUAAGGCGAGGCCGAAAGGCGUAGUCGAUGGGAAACGGGUUAAUAUUCCCGUACUUGGUGUUACUGCGAAGGGGGGACGGAGAAGGCUAUGUUGGCCGGGCGACGGUUGUCCCGGUUUAAGCGUGUAGGUGUGUGUUCCAGGUAAAUCCGGUUCACUUUAACACUGAGGCGUGAUGACGAGGCACUACGGUGCUGAAGCAACAAAUGCCCUGCUUCCAGGAAAAGCCUCUAAGCAUCAGGUAACAUCAAAUCGUACCCCAAACCGACACAGGUGGUCAGGUAGAGAAUAC
Molecule: ribosomal RNA, 597 nt
Filed under: Salmonella enterica subsp. enterica serovar Anatum
Lineage: Bacteria; Pseudomonadati; Pseudomonadota; Gammaproteobacteria; Enterobacterales; Enterobacteriaceae
Description: partial 23S ribosomal RNA
Rfam family: Bacterial large subunit ribosomal RNA
Source: RNAcentral